CUCACCUAGUAUCUGAAGAGGACAGUCUCUAUCUACCAAACCUUCCAUUUCUCCCAAACUAAAUUUAAAUGAGACCUUAAGGUCUCUUUAGAAAGUAUAGCUAGUUCUCUUUACUUCCGUCCUGCAGGUUUUGUAACAGUUACAAAGGCCUGCAGUAAAUAUUAAAUUGUCAGAUUUUUAAGGCUGAGAAGUAUUUUUGUUGCAGUAGGACCCAAAAGCUCCAACCAUGACUGAUGCUCCACUAUGCUAAUGGCUGUACAAAACACACAGGAAGAUGUAGUCCCUGCCCCAAAGAGCUUACACACUAAUGAGAUGCAACAAGACCAUGAGGAUUAGCGGCACUGGAAAAAAGGCAUAUAGAAGAUACUUUGACCACAAGAGGAGAAAGGCAUCUCACAAGGAAUGAUGACCCAGACCUCCCCUCGAGCAGAAGUUCACGCAGCUCCAGCUAACAAUGGUGGUGAAGAGAUCUAUCACUGGAAAUUCCCAGGUCUGUUACUGAGGUUCAUCAAGAAGAUUUCUAACAAUAAUUGGCUUCUACCUCUUCUGGUACCAGUGGACAACAUAAACAGCCUUAACAAGAUGCCCUUCAGAGACUAACACUUUAAUUUACAGAAGAGCAAGAAAUAGGCCACGCACAGCCUACCUGCUUCAGUGCAACUUUUUUUACUUUAAUACCUAAUUGCCUGGACUACAUUCCCCCUAUGCUCAAGUAAGUACUGUUGUAAAAUGCUGAGUAGUUUUCAACUUCCACUGAAGUCAAUGGGAGCUGAAGCUGCUCAGUACCUUAUGGAGGUGGGGGUUGAAUGCAAUGAUGCCCAGCAGAGUUACUCCAGCCAAGAGAAGAAGAAAUCCUCAAUUGUGUUGAGACUUUGAGAAGAGCUAAAGCUGGGAACUAAAGAGUACAGGAUGCAACAGCUUAAUGUGUAUGAAUAAUUCAGGAUCUGGGAACGCCAGGAUCUCUGAGCAGCAGGAGCCUGCACAACCUAGAAAGUCAAGAACAUGGUCUAAUGAUCCUUCAAUUAGGCAAUGUAAUUGACAUUCUCUUAAUAAAAGGGAAC
Molecule: long non-coding RNA, 1061 nt
Organism: Mauremys reevesii (Reeves's turtle)
Lineage: Eukaryota; Metazoa; Chordata; Testudines; Geoemydidae
Exons: 3
Source: RefSeq, a predicted model, not a curated record